GACGAACGCUGGCGGCGUGCUUAACACAUGCAAGUCGAACGGAAAGGCCCUGCUUUUGUGGGGUGCUCGAGUGGCGAACGGGUGAGUACCACGUGAGUAACCUGCUCUUGACUUUGGGAUAACUUCAGGAAACUGGGGCUAAUACCGGAUAGGAGCUCCUGCUGCAUGGUGGGGGUUGGAAAGUUUCGGCGGUUGGGGAUGGACUCGCGGCUUAUCAGCUUGUUGGUGGGGUAGUGGCUUACCAAGGCUUUGACGGGUAGCCGGCCUGAGAGGGUGACCGGCCACAUUGGGACUGAGAUACGGCCCAGACUCCUACGGGAGGCAGCAGUGGGGAAUAUUGCACAAUGGGCGGAAGCCUGAUGCAGCAACGCCGCGUGCGGGAUGACGGCCUUCGGGUUGUAAACCGCUUUCGCCUGUGACGAAGCGUGAGUGACGGUAAUGGGUAAAGAAGCACCGGCUAACUACGUG
This 468-nucleotide ribosomal RNA is filed under the name uncultured bacterium. RNAcentral describes it as "partial 16S ribosomal RNA". It matches the Rfam family "Bacterial small subunit ribosomal RNA", at positions 28 to 507 of the family's 1533-position model. The record is from RNAcentral.